AUCCAUCUGACGAGUCCCAAAUAGGACAAAACGCAAGUCUUGAAU
Non-coding RNA from Schistosoma mansoni, 45 nucleotides. The record is from Rfam. NCBI's taxonomy places the organism in Eukaryota, Metazoa, Platyhelminthes, Trematoda, Strigeidida, Schistosomatidae.